AUUGAACGCUGGCGGCAUGCUUUACACAUGCAAGUCGAACGGUAACAGCACUUCGGUGGCUGACGAGUGGCGAACGGGUGAGUAAUGUAUCGGAACGUGCCCAGUAGUGGGGGAUAACUACUCGAAAGAGUGGCUAAUACCGCAUGAGAUCUCUGGAUGAAAGCGGGGGACCGUAAGGCCUCGCGCUACUGGAGCGGCCGAUAUCAGAUUAGGUUGUUGGUGGGGUAAAGGCCUACCAAGCCUGCGAUCUGUAGCUGGUCUGAGAGGACGACCAGCCACACUGGGACUGAGACACGGCCCAGACUCCUACGGGAGGCAGCAGUGGGGAAUUUUGGACAAUGGACGCAAGUCUGAUCCAGCAAUGCCGCGUGCAGGACGAAGGCCUUCGGGUUGUAAACUGCUUCUGUACGGAACGAAAAGCCUUCUUCUAAUACAGGAGGGUCAUGACGGUACCGUAAGAAUAAGCACCGGCUAACUACGUGCCAGCAGCCG
RNAcentral lists this ribosomal RNA (492 nucleotides) under uncultured bacterium. RNAcentral's name for it is "bacterial SSU rRNA". It matches the Rfam family "Bacterial small subunit ribosomal RNA", at positions 30 to 517 of the family's 1533-position model. The record is from RNAcentral.